UGGGGAAUAUUGGACAAUGGGGGGAACCCUGAUCCAGCCAUGCCGCGUGUGUGAAGAAGGCCUUAUGGUUGUAAAGCACUUUAAGCGAGGAGGAGGGUACUGGUAUUAAUACUACCAGCUACUGGACGUUACUCGCAGAAUAAGCACCGGCUAACUCUGUGCCAGCAGCCGCGGUAAUACAGAGGGUGCGAGCGUUAAUCGGAUUUACUGGGCGUAAAGCGUGCGUAGGCGGCUAAUUGAGUCGGAUGUGAAAUCCCCGAGCUUAACUUGGGAAUUGCAUUCGAUACUGGUUAGCUAGAGUGUGGGAGAGGAUGGUAGAAUUCCAGGUGUAGCGGUGAAAUGCGUAGAGAUCUGGAGGAAUACCGAUGGCGAAGGCAGCCAUCUGGCCCAACACUGACGCUGAGGUACGAAAGCAUGGGGAGCAAACAGG
This 430-nucleotide ribosomal RNA is filed under the name Pseudomonadota bacterium. RNAcentral's name for it is "Proteobacteria bacterium partial 16S ribosomal RNA". It matches the Rfam family "Bacterial small subunit ribosomal RNA", at positions 355 to 776 of the family's 1533-position model. The record is from RNAcentral. Lineage: Bacteria; Pseudomonadati; Pseudomonadota.